Long non-coding RNA from Mercenaria mercenaria, 3983 nucleotides. RefSeq lists it as uncharacterized. Lineage: Eukaryota; Metazoa; Mollusca; Bivalvia; Venerida; Veneridae. The record is from RefSeq and is a predicted model, not a curated record. The transcript has 2 exons.
AUUUUCAAUAGCUUUCCUUCGUCACCAAUUGCGAUUUACAGACCUAAACUAAUUUGCGUAUGAAGUGCUGAUAUAUAAAAUGUUGAUAUCUAGGUAUAUUGCGUUAUUUUACAAGAAAAGGAUUGAUUACUUUCUUAAGUAGUAAAGCUCAAGUUAGUCAAUGGAUAUGGUGGUUUGUUUUAAGAUACACACAUUAAUUAACUGCAUACUGGAAGGUGUAAAGCAUUAUAGAGCAUUCACUGAAUAAUAUUUUACAAAGAAGCACACAUCAAAUAAAAUCUGCAAAGUAGAUCCCUCGGAAGCACCGAAAACAAGGCAAACAGUGAAAAUUGCACCAGAAAAUAUAACAACACAAUAGGCGAGCAAAAGAGGAUAGUGUCGGAUGAUUUAUAAUCAAGAGUUAUGGGUGCGGAUUAGCCAUCUUAAGAAUAAGUAUUCAUUAAUUAAUUGUAGAACAAAAAAGAAAACAUUUGUAUUUUUGAAAGUGAUAUGUCUAGUGACAGUAUUAAAUCGUGUUAAAAUUAUGACAAGCGUUAUUAUGGAUUACAAGACAACAAAAGUGUACCGGGUAUGUAGACGUGGAGAAAGCAUACGUAAAAAACUAAAGUGCAAAAACCCAAAUUCCUCGCGCACUGUAGAACAACAUGUAGCUUCUGGGUCAAGACAUGGAUCAAAGUACAUCUCUACAACAGCAAGUUUAAAAGUUGCUAUAAUUAAUGCAUUUUUCGACGAGAAGAGGAAAUUUCGAAAAAGGCCGUUACGCAUUGUUGAAAUUGAUAUAAAAUAUUUUUGCUGGAACAUACCUUGCUAAGACUUGUAUUAAUCUAUACAACGAUAAAGUAAGGAAGCAUUUUCUAAAAGGUGAUACUCACAGAAGGUGGGCAAAAUCAUCGCAAGAGGUUCUUUUCCAAAUAGAACUACCAAAAUAUAUACGAAAAAGUAGAGAAACUUUUGACGAGGACGACUUAAUAAGGAAAUUCCGGGAAAUGAUUAUUUCAGAUGAAAUCAGUGUUUAUUCUUUUAUCAAAGCUAAACGACCUAAACAACCACCACCCAAGAGAAAAAAGAAGAAGAAUAGAAGAAAUUAAACUUUUCUUCUGGUGUUAAACACCUGCAUCAGUGAGUACUUUCGUGUAAAUUGAUUGCAAAUUGAUAAAUAUAACUGUUUAUAGAUAUCGUGUAAUGGGCUAUAGUACAUUAAUUACGCGUCAGCUUUCCUAUUGUCAGUGAUCGUGUACAAGCAUACCGAUUCCAAUGAUUAUUUAAUGUUGCAGUAGACCCGAAAACCAAUUUUCUUCAGUGCAAAUAUAUUUGUCGGGCAAGCGAGGUGAGUCAGUUGAGGUAUUGGCACCAUUUCAUAUCAUCAUAAGUAAAAAGCACCACGCUUGGUUUAUUAUGGGUGUACAUUUUUCUCCAAUUUAGUUAUACAUUUGUGUUGAUCACAAUCAAGUGAAGUCAAACUAUAAUUGCACAUAGCCAUUGUAUGCGAUUCGGUUGGUAAACAUUGCACAAAAAUUGUAAGAGUCAAUCACUGAAUGGUUUAUUUAUUAAACACAUUAGGCUAAAAAGCCACUGAGGACAAUGGUCCAGUACAUGCUUGACGAAGAGUGAAUGCAUAUAAUAUUUAUCUACCAUACCUUGCAUAUAUGAGAGCGUUACACUUUGUACAAAUAAAAAAUGUUAUGCACUAAAGACUUUUGAAUAAUAUCUUACGGAAAGAGAAAAUACAUUCAAAUACCGUAUGAGGCUAGAGGUAUAAGGUUAGUUCAUGGGCAAACUUCAUAAAAUUAAAACCAAACGCAAUAUUAAUGUGAAAAUAAACGUAAUAUAUAUUCAACCAUAUAUGCAUAUGCAUAAAAACUAUCAGCGAGACAGCUUACAUAAUAACAAAUAUAUUACACUAACAAGAUGGUUCUAUACUCACCGAUGCUAGUCAUAGCUUCUAUUCCGUAUAAACAGCUGAUCGCAUGUAUUGACAUGCUGCCAUUUCACUGAGGCCCAAUAGGGGUAACCGAAUUCGGAGCUCUAUGUAUAGAUCUAUUCAAACGCGUAAUGUCAUUUUCAUCAUUAUUUUUCCAAAAGUAGACGGCGCCUUAAGCGGCACAACGGCGGUAUAGCUCUACCAACUGUUCAAAUAUGUCCUGAUACCACACCUUAGAAUAUGAAUAUAGAGGUCUUUGAAAUCUCGUUAAUUGUGGACCGCCUGUCUCCUUCUAUUAUCGUCUUAACAGCCGUGACGUCGCAAUUACACGUGUUCGUUAUAGUUUUCGAUGGCGUCUUCUGUAGAUUUACACAAAACUGUACAUUUGCACGCAUUUUCAACUUGUCUUCAGGCGCCAUUUUUCGCUCUAGCGUUUGUUUAGUGUUAGCGCAAUUUGCAAUGCAAAUACGUAAUGCGAGUGUGAAAUUCUGGCGUUUACUCGUGUUGCCAUAGCAACUAUAUCAGACGAACGUCGUGAGUUACAUAAGCAAACUUUUUCACAUAAACUCGAAAUAUAUAUUAUGGCAAACCAAAUUUGAAAAGUGUUCGAUAUAGAUUAAAAAAUAAACUUGUCCACGAACUUUUGAAUAGACCCUCGUAUCCUUAUGCUUCUGCUAAUCUUAAAAGGUCGUGUGAUUAAUGUUUUGGUCCAUGAUAGAUGUUUAAACAUGUGAUAAAAACACAUGGCAUUAAGUAUAACAGUAUCAUGUUGUGAACGUGACGAUGCACCUACCAACAUAAAUAUUAUGACAAGGAACUUACUCAUUUAUUUAAGAAAAGAUAAAAAUGUGUAAAUGAAUUCACAUUUCAAAUUGAAACUUUCUGUUAGAACCAAAUUUCAUAACAUUUGUUUGUUUUGAUUUGUUUUACCUUUAAUAUUUAUGCGCUUGCUUUAUUUUUGAAUUGUUUGUAACUAUGUUACAUUUUCUGAAUUGCAUUUUGAACAGAUUUUUUUUUUCAAUUUUGUAAUUUCCUUGACACUCAUCGUUUCCUCAAUAUUUUAUUAUAAUUCACAUUACUCGGGACUAUACACCGCUUUUGGAUGUAAUUGCACUCAAGUUAUCAAUGAAGGUUCCAUGUGCACCGCCGUAUGAAUACUUCUGUGGAUGUCUUUGGAUGUCUUUAGAUAUUUUUUGGUACUUAAAACAUAAUAUGUAAAUGUUGAUUUCUGCUCGAUCCAGAGCUAGAGAGUAUGGAGAGUAGCAUGCAUUUCUACUAUACUGUCUAUGAACAGGCUCAAUCAAACCAAGCCUACAACAUUAUUAUUUUUGUCGCGUUGAGCUGCAUGUACCUAUAAAAUUCCACUUUUUCUAUUUAUUAUCACAGCAGCUUUUUUGUGCCGUGUGGCGGCCUUAAAAUGUCUCCCCGUACUUUCAAUCAGAGCUGUUAUUUUUUGGUCAUUUCAGAUCGUUUAGCACGACAUUUAUGUUGUGUUAUAGUGGUACAUUUCGGCUUGGGGGUUACAAUACUCCCGCAUUCAUGGCUUUUGAGUGUCGUAUAAUUAACAAAUAAUCCAGGCCUUCGACUGGUUUAUCGUCUAAUUUACUAUCAGAGUUCAUAUGCGUAGUAAUUGAACGCUGGAGUGGUUUGAUACUGAAGAAUCUGAAGUCUGAACCGUGGUAAAUUAGAUGAUAAAUCACAAGAAGGUCUUGCUUGUUUUCAUUCUGACAUGCUCAUUGACAUAUUGUAAUAAAUAUUACGUUGGAUUUUUAUUUUUGUCAAACAAUGACACGAUAUUGUUGUGUUUAGUUGAGAAAACAGUGCUUUAAAUUUGAUAAAUAUUGACAGUGAUAAUUCGUAUUGCUUUAAACAUUGACAGAAGUAUUAGAUGUGUAGAAUUUGACAGUGUCAAAAUUGUAUUUAUAGUCCAAUUCUUUUGUUGACAUUUGAACCGUUGAAUUUACCAUACUGAUUAGAUUAUGAUACAUGAUUUAUCCAUUAGAUUUUAUUAUUACCUUUGCUUUUCUUAUUUAUUCUCUGUAAGCAGUAAAUAUUGAACAGA